UGCGUAGGCGGUGCGGUAAGUCUUUUGUGAAAUCUCCGGGCUCAACUCGGAGUCUGCAGGAGAAACUGCCGUGCUUGAGUAUGGGAGAGGUGAGUGGAAUUCCUGGUGUAGCGGUGAAGUGCGUAGAUAUCAGGAGGAACACCUGUGGCGAAAGCGGCUCACUGGACCAUAACUGACGCUGAUGCACGAAAGCUAGGGGAGCAAACAGGAUUAGAUACCCUGGUAGUCCUAGCCCUAAACGAUGAUUGCUUGGUGUGUCGGGUACCCAAUCCCGACGUGCCGGAGCUAACGCGAUAAGCAAUCCGCCUGGGGAGUACGGUCGCAAGGCUGAA
This 332-nucleotide ribosomal RNA is filed under the name uncultured bacterium. RNAcentral describes it as "bacterial SSU rRNA". It matches the Rfam family "Bacterial small subunit ribosomal RNA", at positions 568 to 898 of the family's 1533-position model. The record is from RNAcentral.